Stegodyphus mimosarum is the source of this 73-nucleotide non-coding RNA. NCBI's taxonomy places the organism in Eukaryota, Metazoa, Arthropoda, Arachnida, Araneae, Eresidae. The record is from Rfam.
GCCUUUGUGGUGUAGUGGUCAGCACACUGGGAGCGUAUUCCAGAGUUCUGUGGUUCAAAUCCCGGCGACGGCA